ACGCUGGCGGCAGGCCUAACACAUGCAAGUCGAGCGCUACCUUCGGGUGGAGCGGCGGACGGGUUAGUAACGCGUGGGAACGUACCCAGAUCUAAGGAAUAGCCACUGGAAACGGUGAGUAAUACCGUAUACGCCCUGUGGGGGAAAGGUCCGCCGCAGAAUGAGGGGUCCGCGUCCGAUUAGCUUGUUGGUAAGGUAAUGGCUUACCAAGGCGACGAUCGGUAGCUGGUCUGAGAGGAUGAUCAGCCACACUGGGACUGAGACACGGCCCAGACUCCUACGGGAGGCAGCAGUGGGGAAUAUUGGACAAUGGGGGCAACCCUGAUCCAGCAAUGCCGCGUGUGUGAUGAAGGCCUUAGGGUUGUAAAACACUUUCAAUGGUGAAGAUGAUGACGGUAACCAUAGAAGAAGCCCCGGCUAACUUCGUGCCAGCAGCCGCGGUAAUACGAAGGGGGCGAGCGUUGUUCGGAAUUACUGGGCGUAAAGGGCGCGCAGGCGGCCAAUCCAGUCAGGUGUGAAAGCCCCGAGCUCAACUUUGGAACUGCACUUGAUACUGAUUGGCUAAAAAA
Molecule: ribosomal RNA, 569 nt
Filed under: uncultured Alphaproteobacteria bacterium
Lineage: Bacteria; Pseudomonadati; Pseudomonadota; Alphaproteobacteria
Description: bacterial SSU rRNA
Rfam family: Bacterial small subunit ribosomal RNA
Source: RNAcentral